Molecule: ribosomal RNA, 478 nt
Filed under: uncultured bacterium
Lineage: Bacteria
Description: partial 16S ribosomal RNA
Rfam family: Bacterial small subunit ribosomal RNA
Source: RNAcentral
GAUGAACGCUGGCGGCGUGCUUAACACAUGCAAGUCGAACGGGAAACCUUUUAUUGAAGCUUCGGCAGAUUUAGCUGGUUUCUAGUGGCGGACGGGUGAGUAACGCGUGGGUAACCUGCCUUAUACAGGGGGAUAACAGUCAGAAAUGGCUGCUAAUACCGCAUAAGCGCACAGAGCUGCAUGGCUCAGUGUGAAAAACUCCGGUGGUAUAAGAUGGACCCGCGUUGGAUUAGCUGGUUGGUGGGGUAACGGCCCACCAAGGCGACGAUCCAUAGCCGGCCUGAGAGGGUGAACGGCCACAUUGGGACUGAGACACGGCCCAGACUCCUACGGGAGGCAGCAGUGGGGAAUAUUGCACAAUGGGGGAAACACUGAUGCAGCGACGCCGCGUGAAGGAAGAAGUAUCUCGGUAUGUAAACUUCUAUCAGCAGGGAAGAUAAUGACGGUACCUGACUAAGAAGCCCCGGCUAACUACGUG